CCCUUAGAUGUUCUGGGCCGCACGCGCGCUACACUGACGGAGUCAGCGAGCAUGUCCUACGCCGACAGGUGCGGGGAAUCUUGUCAAACUUCGUCGUGAUGGGGAUUGAUUAUUGAAAUUCUUGAUCAUCAACGAGGAAUUCCUAGUAAGCGCAAGUCAGCAGCUUGCGUUGAUUACGUCCCUGCCCUUUGUACACACCGCCCGUCGCUACUACCGAUUGAAUGGUUUAGUGAGAUCUUCGGAUUGGCGCCACUGCGGCUCAGCAAUGGGCUCGGUGGAUGCCGAAAAGUUGAUCAAACUUGAUCAUUUAGAGGAAGUAAAAGUCGUAACA
RNAcentral lists this ribosomal RNA (331 nucleotides) under uncultured eukaryote. Its description in RNAcentral is "partial 18S ribosomal RNA". It matches the Rfam family "Eukaryotic small subunit ribosomal RNA", at positions 1470 to 1796 of the family's 1831-position model. The record is from RNAcentral.